RNA transcript from Mus pahari (shrew mouse), 1061 nucleotides. It is a transcript of the gene named UDP-xylose and UDP-N-acetylglucosamine transporter pseudogene, with no coding region annotated. The record is from RefSeq and is a predicted model, not a curated record. The transcript has a single exon. Lineage: Eukaryota; Metazoa; Chordata; Mammalia; Rodentia; Muridae.
UUUCUAGGGUAGCGAACUGAAAGGGCGCUAUUUCUGCGCACUGGCUCUCAUGCCCUGCACCGGCCAUGCUCCUGGCCUUCGCGGUGGGCCUGGUGUUUGCAGGCUGCUGCAGUAAUGUGAUCUUCCUAGAGCUGCUGGCCCGGACACAUCUAGGAUGCGGGAACAUUGUCAUGUUUGCGCAGUUCUUAUUUAAUGCUGUGGAAGGCUUCCUUUUUGAAGCUGACUUGGGAAGGAAGCCACCAGCUAUCCCAAUAAGGUACUAUGCCAUCAUGGUGACCAUGUUCUUCACUGUCAGCGUGGUGAACAUCUAUGCCCUGAAUCUGAACAUCGCCAUUCCUCUGCAUAUGAUAUUCAGAUCAGGCUCUCUGAUUGCCAACAUGAUUCUAGGAAUUUUCAUUUUGAAGAAAAGAUACAGUAUGUUCAAGUAUACCUCCAUUGCCCUAGUGUCUGCAGGGAUAUUUAUUUUCACUUUCAUGUCAGCAAAGCAGGAGACUGUCCAGUCUGGCUUUAGUGACAAGGACGGAUUCCAGGCCUUUGCGUGGUGGUUACUAGGUAUUGUGCCACUGACCUUCGCUCUGCUGAUGUCAGCAAGAAUGGGCAUCUUCCAGGAGACUCUGUACAGACAGUUUGGGAAACAUUCCAAGGAGGUGUUAUUUUAUAAUCAUGCCCUUCCACUUCCUGGUUUCAUCUUCUUGGCCUCUGAUAUUUAUGACCACGUUGUUCUGUUCAAUAAGUCUGAACUCUAUCAAGUUCCAGUCAUCGGUGUGACAAUGCCCAUCAUGUGGUUCUACCUCCUCAUGAACGUUGUGACUCAAUACGUGUGCAUCCGGGGCGUGUUCUUCCUUACAACAGAGUGUGCCUCCCUCACCGUCACACUGGUUGUGACUCUGCGCAAAUUUGUGAGCCUCAUCUUUUCUAUCUUGUACUUCCAGAACCAGUUCACUAGGUGGCACUGGCUGGGCACCUUGUUUGUCUUCAUUGGGACCUUAACGUACACAGAGGUGUGGAAAAACCUAGGGACCACAAAAAGUCAGCUGCAAAAGGAUGACAAGAAGGACUGA